This 484-nucleotide ribosomal RNA is filed under the name uncultured bacterium. Its description in RNAcentral is "partial 16S ribosomal RNA". It matches the Rfam family "Bacterial small subunit ribosomal RNA", at positions 30 to 507 of the family's 1533-position model. The record is from RNAcentral.
AUUGAACGCUGGCGGCAGGCCUAACACAUGCAAGUCGAGCGGAUGAAGGGAGCUUGCUCUUGGAUUCAGCGGCGGACGGGUGAGUAACGCCUAGGAAUCUGCCUGGGAGUGGGGGAUAAUGUCCGGAAACGGGCGCUAAUACCGCAUACGUCCCGAGGGAGAAAGUGGGGGAUGUUCGGACUUCACGCUAUCAGAUGAACCUAGGGCGGAUUAGCUUGUUGGUGGGGUAAAGGCCUACCAAGGCGUCGAUCCGUAACUGGUCUGAGAGGAUGAUCAGGCACACUGAAGGAGAGCCACCAUCCAGAGUCCUACCGAAGGCACCAGUUGCUACUGUAGGCAGAUGGGCGGAAGCCUGACCAAGGCGUGCCACGUCUGUGAAGGAAAUCUUCGGGCUGUAAAGCGCUUUUAGUUGUGAGGAAGGGCUGUAGCUUAAUACAUUGCUGUUUUGACGUUACCAACAGAAUAAGCACCGGCUAACUUCGUG